UGGGGAAUCUUGCGCAAUGGGCGAAAGCCUGACGCAGCCAUGCCGCGUGAAUGAUGAAGGUCUUAGGAUUGUAAAAUUCUUUCACCGGGGACGAUAAUGACGGUACCCGGAGAAGAAGCCCCGGCUAACUUCGUGCCAGCAGCCGCGGUAAUACGAAGGGGGCUAGCGUUGCUCGGAAUUACUGGGCGUAAAGGGAGCGUAGGCGGACAUUUAAGUCAGGGGUGAAAUCCCGGGGCUCAACCUCGGAAUUGCCUUUGAUACUGGGUGUCUUGAGUAUGAGAGAGGUGUGUGGAACUCCGAGUGUAGAGGUGAAAUUCGUAGAUAUUCGGAAGAACACCAGUGGCGAAGGCGACACACUGGCUCAUUACUGACGCUGAGGCUCGAAAGCGGGGGGAGCAAACAGG
Molecule: ribosomal RNA, 404 nt
Filed under: Actinomycetes bacterium
Lineage: Bacteria; Bacillati; Actinomycetota; Actinomycetes
Description: Actinobacteria bacterium partial 16S ribosomal RNA
Rfam family: Bacterial small subunit ribosomal RNA
Source: RNAcentral